Molecule: RNase P RNA, 406 nt
Filed under: Sulfurospirillum sp. MES
Lineage: Bacteria; Pseudomonadati; Campylobacterota; Epsilonproteobacteria; Campylobacterales; Sulfurospirillaceae
Also listed under: 1 other name
Description: bacterial RNase P
Rfam family: Bacterial RNase P class A
About the family: Ribonuclease P (RNase P) is a ubiquitous endoribonuclease, found in archaea, bacteria and eukarya as well as chloroplasts and mitochondria. Its best characterised activity is the generation of mature 5'-ends of tRNAs by cleaving the 5'-leader elements of precursor-tRNAs. Cellular RNase Ps are ribonucleoproteins.
Source: RNAcentral
AAGGUACGGCAGGUGAUUGCUUGGACGCAUGCGUUCAAGAGGAAAGUCCGGGCUACAUGUGAGACAUGGUUCCGUCUAACGGACGGCUAGGGUAACCUAAGGGACAGUGCAACAGAAAGUAAACUACCAUUUUAUCACUCUUGCGAAAGCAUAGCUUUAGUGAGAUGAAUUUUAUGCGAGCUUUGCUUGUAUAAAAGAAGAUGUUAAAAUGGAAAAGGUGAAACGGCGGGGUAAGAGCCCACCAGCGCUUUGAGUAAUCAUCGCGGCUAUGUAAACCCAACCUGUAGCAAGAAGGGACGGUUUUGGUCUCACGCUUCAUAAACCCUUCGCUAGAGGCUUAUCGUAAGAUAAGUCGUAGAUAAAUAAUCACCCCAGACAGAACCCGGCUUAUCGCCGUACCUUUUGU